AGGAUUAACGCUGGCGGCGUGCCUAACACAUGCAAGUCGAACGAGGUAGCAAUACCUAGUGGCAGACGGGUGAGUAACGCGUGGUCAACCUACCGUUGAGUGGGGGAUAACUAGCCGAAAGGUUAGCUAAUACCGCAUACGAGUUUCGGGGGCAUCCCUGGAUCUUAAAAGGAGCAAUCCGCUCGAUGACGGGACCGCGUCCCAUUAGCUAGAUGGUGGGGUAACGGCCUACCAUGGCACCGAUGGGUAGCUGGUUUGAGAGAGCGACCAGCCACACUGGGACUGAGAAACGGCCCAGACUCCUACGGGAGGCAGCAGUGAGGAAUUUUCCGCAAUGGGCGAAAGCCUGACGGAGCGACGCCGCGUGUGGGAAGAAGGCCUUCGGGUCGUAAACCACUGUCGAAGGGGACGAUAAUGACGGUACCCUUGGAGGAAGCCCGGCUAACUACGUGCCAGCAGCCGC
Molecule: ribosomal RNA, 463 nt
Filed under: uncultured bacterium
Lineage: Bacteria
Description: SSU rRNA
Rfam family: Bacterial small subunit ribosomal RNA
Source: RNAcentral